AGCGCAGGUGGUUUAUUAAGUCUGGUGUAAAAGGCAGUGGCUCAACCAUUGUAUGCAUUGGAAACUGGUAGACUUGAGUGCAGGAGAGGAGAGUGGAAUUCCAUGUGUAGCGGUGAAAUGCGUAGAUAUAUGGAGGAACACCGGUGGCGAAGGCGACCUACUGGCCGUUACUGACGCUGAGGAGCGAAAGCGUGGGAGCGAACA
Molecule: ribosomal RNA, 204 nt
Filed under: uncultured bacterium
Lineage: Bacteria
Description: partial 16S ribosomal RNA
Rfam family: Bacterial small subunit ribosomal RNA
Source: RNAcentral